Molecule: long non-coding RNA, 1700 nt
Filed under: Oryctolagus cuniculus (rabbit)
Lineage: Eukaryota; Metazoa; Chordata; Mammalia; Lagomorpha; Leporidae
Description: lncRNA (ENSOCUG00000034700.1)
Source: RNAcentral
GGCUGGGCUGGGCUCGACGCGGCGCGGACGCUGGCGGCGCGCGUCACACCAACCGGCCGGCCCGGGACCGCAGCCGCCACCGCCACCUUCCCGACUUCUCCUGAGACGGGAAGGCGAGCUGGGGGGGGCGGGGGCAGGCAAGAGGAGGCCCGCCCCGGGCGGCGGGUGGCCAAGUGUCGACCUGCGCCCUCUGCUGGCCGGGAGGAGUCACUGCGGCCGCGCCGAGGCCUGGGUGGUCGGGGCUAUUGCAAAGUGUAGGGAAGACCCUGGCGGUGGUGGUCGUGGACGUCGUUGAACACUCGUGCGCGUAUGCGUAGUUUCAGUUUCUUGCACCAAAAUUAACAUUUCACUGGAGAGGAACUUGUUGACGCACCUGCUAAACCUCUCCACCCUCACCCCCCUGCACAAAAUUCUGCAAGGGCUCCCACUGUCUUUGGAAUAAUUCCGAAUUCCUCACGGUGCCUUCAGGAUCACCCAUAGUGCAGCCGGUUCUCCUUCCUUCUCUCCAUCUUCCUUUGCUCUGCCCAACACAGCAAGCCCCUUUCUGACUCUUCCCCCCCCCCCAAACCUGGUUCUGCCUAUAACAGGGUAACUCAAGCUUGCAGCUGUUAACAUUUUGGAGUGGAUUAUGGGCAGUGCCCUGUGCGUCGGAUUAUGGGCAGUGUUUCUGGCCUCUGCCCACCAGAUGCCAACAGCAUCUUCUCCAUGGUGGCAACCAAAAUUCCCCAGACGUUGCCAGAAGUGGAGGGAGGAGCGAGGAGGUAGAAGUCAACCGCGCUUGAGAAAGGAGCUGCGCAGGGAAGCCCAGAUCCACCCUGAUGGGGAACCUCCACUCAGUCCUGCUUAAGAGAGUGGGGAGUAGGUAUUUCCAAACUGCACGCCUGUGGGAAGACGUUCAAGUGAAGCCUGAGACGUUUUCUCCGGGUGCUUUCGACCUGCUGAGGGUGAGUCAGAGAAAACGUCCUGAACAAACCCUGCUGUUUGGAGAGGCCCCGUGGAUCGAGGGAGCAAGCGAGAGCCCAGAUCAUCCCAGGCCGCCCCACCCUCCACGCCUGUCGGCGAGUGCCAGAGAGGAGGCCUUUCCGUGUCAGCCCGAGAGCAAAGCAGGAUGUCCAAUAACAAAUAGCAUAGGAUGGCUUCCUCCCUCGGAGUAGCUGAGUCACUGCAGAGGGCUUCUCCAAAACCGAGACUUGAGGCGCUGUCUCUGAGCUAGCUGCAGCCGUCAGAGACCCACUGAGAGCCACAGACAGCCGCUGCCUGACACACCCGCUUGUGCCCUGGUGGUCCUCGCCAUCUGCAGUGUGCUCUGAGUCCUUUUUUUUUUUUUUAAGUUUAGUUUGUUUUUCUUUGAAAGGCACAGUGAUGGAAAGACAGAUUUUUUUAUGCACUAGCUCAUACCCUCAAAUGCCUGUAACAAGCAGGGCUGGACCAGAGGGUAGCCAGGAGUCUGGAACUCAAUCUAGAUCUUCCACGUGGGCGAUGGAGACUUGAGAGUGUGCGUCAUCCCUUGUGCCGCCCAGGGUGCACACGAGCUGGAGCAGAGCAGGGCCUGAAACCCAGACAUUCCAUUCCACACAGAAUGCGAGCGCCUUAACCACUUGGUCCCAGCAAUGCCUGCCCCCGAGUUCAGAGUUUUAGUAAAUCUUGGACUUCCCUACUGAAUACCACAAUUUGCCAUGUUUUAUUUGUGUACGUGUGCU